CACCGCGGUUAUACGAGAGGCCCAAGCUGACAGACACCGGCGUAAAGAGUGGUUAGGAAAACACGAUAAAUUAGAGCCGAACGCUCCCAAAGCUGUCAUACGCACCCGGGAGUAAGAAGUACAACAACGAAAGUAGCUCUAUUAAUUCUGAACCCACGAAAGCUAAGGCA
RNAcentral lists this ribosomal RNA (170 nucleotides) under Odonus niger (redtoothed triggerfish). Its description in RNAcentral is "partial small subunit ribosomal RNA". Lineage: Eukaryota; Metazoa; Chordata; Actinopteri; Tetraodontiformes; Balistidae. The record is from RNAcentral.